Molecule: ribosomal RNA, 425 nt
Filed under: uncultured bacterium
Lineage: Bacteria
Description: bacterial SSU rRNA
Rfam family: Bacterial small subunit ribosomal RNA
Source: RNAcentral
GGGGAAUAUUGGACAAUGGGCGGAAGCCUGAUCCAGCCAUGCCGCGUGUGUGAAGAAGGUCUUCGGAUUGUAAAGCACUUUAAUUUGGGAGGAAGGGUUUACACCUAAUACGUGUGAACUUUGACGUUACCAAAAGAAUAAGCACCGGCUAACUUCGUGCCAGCAGCCGCGGUAAUACGAAGGGUGCAAGCGUUAAUCGGAAUUACUGGGCGUAAAGCGCGCGUAGGUGGUUCGUUAAGUUGGAAGUGAAAGCCCCGGGCUCAACCUGGGAAUUGCUUUCAAAACUGGCGAGCUAGAGUACGGUAGAGGGUGGUGGAAUUUCCUGUGUAGCGGUGAAAUGCGUAGAUAUAGGAAGGAACAUCAGUGGCGAAGGCGACCACCUGGACUGAUACUGACACUGAGGUGCGAAAGCGUGGGGAGCAAAC